This 1811-nucleotide long non-coding RNA is filed under the name Chinchilla lanigera (long-tailed chinchilla). RNAcentral describes it as "lncRNA (ENSCLAG00000026836.1)". The record is from RNAcentral. Lineage: Eukaryota; Metazoa; Chordata; Mammalia; Rodentia; Chinchillidae.
AUCUUUUUUCUUCUUCCAGUUUAGGAGAUUUUCUGGUGAAGAACCAAAGUUUCACCGAAGCUGUAACUGCAGAAUGUAAAUAUUGAAAGAAUCGGAGAGAAGCCAAGUCUAGCUAGUGGUGUGAGAAUGGCUUGUGGUGAUUGAAUGUUCAGCUCCCCCAUGCAGCUCUGAGUAGGAACAAACAAGCAAGUCAAGUAUUUCAAUGUGUUUUCUGAGUCACCACCUAUCUGCUAGGUUUGUCUUUCUUUGAUAGAGUAUGCAAUUUACCGUGGAACACUUGAUGGCAAAGAUGAACAGACUCGUAUACUUGAUAAUUUGUUAUUCUACAGUAUUUUAACUGGGGAGCCUCUGAGCAGCAAGGAAUCAUGAAGAACAAUUUCUUCUUGUGCAAGGGUGCUCCCUGCCCUGUAGAACUGUGCUGGAGGCAGUGUGUCCCAGAUGGAGAAAUGCAGAACCACGGUCAGUCCAUGAUUGCUGAAAAGCAAAUGGAAAUUGUCUUCUAUCUAGGGAAAGAGAAAGCCAACCACCUGCCAAAAAUGGGGACCACUAUUCUACUCUCUACUGCUAUGGAUAUACCUGGACAGUCUUCCUUUCUCACAAGAUCCUUGAUGACUGACACCUGCUGCUGCCAAUAUCCCUGUCCCAUGGAUCCUACUAUGAAUCACAGGGAUGAAGGUCCAGAGGCAGACUCUGGAGUCUCAGUGCCUCAGUCUGAAUCAUCACUCCACCCCCUAACCACAGUGUGACCUUGGAUCCAGAUGACUAACUCCGGCGAGCCUCAGUUUUUGCAUCUGAGAAAGAGGAAAAUGGUAGUGCCCCUGCCACAGACUUGUGAAAAUUACAUAAGGUAGCAUAUGGAAGGCUCUUAGCACAAGGCCUGGUACCUAGAUAGGAACUGUAGCUCAGUAUUAAUUAGCAGAGUAAAGAAAAGGGAUUGCUAGUGAGAGGAACUGAGAGGAGAAGAGAGUGAUUUUUGGACCAGGAGCUGAGCAAGGCUGUGGGAAUGGCUUUCUCUUCUAGUACUUUUUUUUUUGUCACCACCCUACAUGUUAGCUCACAUGGAAAAUCCCGCUGCUUUCUGAUCUGCACUUUUUACCAGACUUGCUCAGAUGGCAGUGGUGUAAAGACCGAAGUCUGUGUUGCUGGUGGGAGCCCUUGAAGGGCUUGCCUUCAAUUUGGUGCCGCUGCACCCGCUCAGCAGCCUACCUUGCUGGGCUUCAGCUCAGCCAUCCCUAAAUUGCUGUCCUGUUGCUUCAGUCCCAGUAUAGAGAAACCAGUAAUGAGCCUAGGCUGAUUCAGGAAGGAACAUUCUUUUCUUCCCCAGGUGACACUUCAUUGACUACUCAGCAGGAGCUCUGAGUUAUCCUGAUCUUGUUAGCAGCUUUGGCUCACCAUUGGCUGGGCAUUUGCAGUGUGUGGCAAGGCAUGCUGGCGGGGCAGAACCCUCACACAUGCCCACUUGCCUGUCUUAUUGCCAGUCUCCUGAAUUAUCUGUAUGCUGCUUAAAUAUUCAAGACUCUGACACUGUUUUCAUUUUUAAUGACCACAGCCUUGUAUAACUCAGUAAAAAAAAAGUCUUGGUUAGGAAUGUCGCAAAAAUCAAACACAAAAGACUUUGACUGAUAAGAGACCAAACCCAUAGUAGCCACAGUGUCUUAGGAGAUGUUUGGUGUUUGUUCUAGAGCAGUCUCUUGGGGCCUCUUUUACUCUGCCGGAAGGAUGAAGGGGUGGGUCAAAUUCUUAUCUGUUAUUUAAGGAGCUUUAAUAACUUAAACCCAGCUUUAGAGCUUUUUUAUGAAAUUGGAUCUGGG